UGCGUUCGUAGCUCAGCUGGAUAGAGCGACGGACUUCGAAUCCGUAGGCCGCAGGUUCGAGUCCUGUCGGACGCAG
Molecule: transfer RNA, 76 nt
Filed under: Spirochaetia bacterium
Lineage: Bacteria; Pseudomonadati; Spirochaetota; Spirochaetia
Also listed under: 1 other name
Description: tRNA-Arg
Rfam family: tRNA
About the family: Transfer RNA (tRNA) molecules are approximately 80 nucleotides in length.
Source: RNAcentral